AUACCUCACCAUGAAUAUGUUGGGCUGAAUUAUCAAUAUGUUGAAAAUCUACUUUAUUAGGAUCCCAAAUAACCCAUAAUCUUUCUCUCAUAGUUGAUGAAGCAUUUGUGUACCACUUCCAUCCAUGCAAUAUUUUAUUAAGUAAACUAUCGGCUAUAUUAUUCUGAACUCUAUGCUCACUAAUUGCUAUCAUAGUAACUUUAUUUUUCCUAAAAAAUACCUUCAUUUCCUUGUGCUUCACCACUUGGUUGAAACCUCUUACAUUCCAUGUUACUAGCAUACUUGCAGAGGGAGUAUUGGUGGGAAGAAUUCUUUCAUAUCCACAUUAGUACCUCCUCUUUCUUGUCCAACGUCGAAGGAAUUGCUGCAAUUACCUGGUGUGUUGGUUAGGAGAUAAGGCCUUUUAUCAGUUGAAUUUUUCUUAAAAGUUUGCUAUUGCUCUGUUGUACUUGCUGUAGCUAUUCCUGUGUUGUCACUAUCCAUGUCUUGAAAUUGUGGUUUCAUACUUUCUUUCUCAAGCUCCUCUGUAGGUUUCCAUUCCAUUUUCUGCGUCUGUUUCCCCUGUCCCUUUGCGGCUUUUUGUUUCUUCACAGGUGGUGGGUUAGUUUUACAAGUAUGUCCAACUUGUAGGCAUUUUUCAUAAUACAGUGGCUUCUAAUCAUACCAUACUUCGUGCUCCAUCAGUCUACCCUUCAGAUCCUGGAUUUUAUUUUUUUUAGGGAGUGGUCUGGUAAUGUCUACUUCUACCAAUAUCCGAGCAAAUGAUAUUCUGAUAGCUGCUAGCCUGAGUUGUACAUUCAUCUGCAUACAGGGGUUUCUCCAAGCUACUCCCUAUUUUAAUUAACACUACAUCAUUCCAUCAGUUCAGGGGCAAGCUAGGUUGCUUAAUCCAUAGCGGAAUUAUAGUUAGGAUUUCCUCACUAAAAUUGAAAUCUGUUGUUCAAGGUUUAAUAAUGACUGGUCUUCGGAGUAGGUAUUGUGGUCGUCCAGAGCAUAACACUACAUCUCUUUCUUCUUCAUUCGCAAAUCUUACCAUAAAGUACCCAUCUGAAUGAUACAACACAAUUGGCUUUGUAGCGAAGCUCCUCUACGCAAGUAUGAAUCUCUCCAUAGCACCUAUAGAGGGGCUGAUUCCCACUACAUAUACCUAGGCAUUUUUCAUAAUACAGUGGCUUCUAAUCAUACCAUACUUCGUGCUCCAUCAGUCUACCCUUCAGAUCCUGGAUUUUAUUUUUUUUAGGGAGUGGUCUGGUAAUGUCUACUUCUACCAAUAUCCGAGCAAAUGAUAUUCUGCUAGCCUGAGUUGUACAUUCAUCUGCAUACAGGGGUUUCUCCAAGCUACUCCCUAUUUUAAUUAACACUACAUCAUUCCAUCAGUUCAGGGGCAAGCUAGGUAGCUUAAUCCAUAGCGGAAUUAUAGUUAGGAUUUCCUCACUAAAAUUGAAAUCUGUUGUUCAAGGUUUAAUAAUGACUGGUCUUCGGAGUAGGUAUUGUGGUCCAGAGCAUAACACUACAUCUCUUUCUUCUUCAUUCGCAAAUCUUACCAUAAAGUACCCAUCUGAAUGAUACAACACAAUUGGCUUUGUAGCGAAGCUCCUCUACGCAAGUAUGAAUCUCUCCAUAGCACCUAUAGAGGGGCUGAUUCCCACUACAUAUACCACAAUAGCAGACUUCUAUUUUGCAUUCUCAUAAGCUACAUCAUCCGCAGUUACUUCUACCACUGUCUCCCCAUCAAUAACAGUGGGUGGAAUGAAUGAUAGAUCCAUACCUUUAGUAGCCAACCUAUUUGUAGCGAAUAAAUUCUUCCAUGGUUUCUCAAGCAGCUUCUCCACUUGCUUAUGCUUCUUUGAAGCAGUUCCUAGCUCAUUUGGAGUAUUUGUUCCUUUUAGUUUUUGCAGAUCUGUAUUUUCUCCAAUUGCUUGCUUGGUAGCUAAUUUAGGCCAAGUUUCAACACUUUUUGCCUUCCCUUUUUCAUUGGACAUCAUUGUCGGUGUUAUCUGAGGGGUUCCCAUCGGGGUUUUG
Molecule: long non-coding RNA, 2022 nt
Filed under: Capsicum annuum
Lineage: Eukaryota; Viridiplantae; Streptophyta; Magnoliopsida; Solanales; Solanaceae
Description: long non-coding RNA (CANN_LNC002038)
Source: RNAcentral